Molecule: long non-coding RNA, 1327 nt
Organism: Sycon ciliatum
Lineage: Eukaryota; Metazoa; Porifera; Calcarea; Leucosolenida; Sycettidae
Exons: 2
Source: RefSeq, a predicted model, not a curated record
UUGUCCUCUGCACUGCGUCUCUGCAGAUGACUCGUUCAGUUCAUGCUCUCUGGUCCAGUCCACCAAGUGUACCGCCCAGUACGGACACGAGUCGUUAGCUCCCAACACCGAUAGGUGUAACUGGACAUUAGCCAACGCAACUUCCAUCACUAUGCCAACAGAUCACUCGGGCAACAGCACCAACGACGAAAACUCUACUGUCAGCGGCGAUCCCAGCGGUAUACCAAGCAGCCAGGCGCCGACCGAUCGCCUGGCUAGCAGCACCGGCAAAGAUACUAUACUGCAAGCGCCAGCAGUGCUAGGCCACUCGACCAACGACGCAGGCUACACAACGUACCAAUCUACCGACCGCCACUUCAGUCUUUGGCCAUGUACCAGCCGUUACUAUGGUUACAACUGCGCAAGCUGGCCAGGAGCACCAGACUAUCACCAAGACAACCAAUGCUUCAUGGUGCUACACGACUGCGGCCGUGGCUUUGCUUGCUUUCUGGUCCUUUUUGUUUCUCGUCAGCGUAGCAAUUCAGGCCAUCGACUGUUACAGGGGUAGAAAGUCUCGCCACGAGGCGGUUGCCACGACGUCUCGGCAUGUACCCAUGGACGAGUCGAUCGUACUUGGCAACAGAUUGGACUCCAGCCCGCCACUGCCACCAGACAGUCCCAGCAGGUGCUCAGCUACAGUUGCGCUCACCGAAGACAAUUCUGAUUUGUAAGAGGAGACAUCAAUUCUCUCUCCCCCCCCCUCUCUCGCACUAUACCAGUUCUUAUGCAUUCAAAAAUUGUUGAACUGAAUCCCCGAUAGAAACAAUAAUUCUUAUUAUUCAAUUGCCAUGCCAUUUGUCAACACUAUAUACAGACUCAGUGUCCAAUACUGUAGUAAAUCUGCACACUUUUUAGUUUGUGAUCUGCGAGCACAGACCAACUUGCACCUGGAUUCUCACAAUUGGUCAAUUUCCUCAGUUUCUUUGCCACAGUUCUACAGUUCGGAUCGCAAGGGUUUCCGAAUUAAUUCACUAUUAAACUUGUUAGCAAGCAAGCACCGCCGUAUAGAUACCAUAGGUACUGCUAGCUGACUGUUGUUGUUACGCACACACACAAUCACCAUCAUGAGAUCAUCGAGUUCUCUCUGUUGUUCGCUCAGCCAGCUAGCUGCAUUAUUUGAUAUCAAAAUUAGGAAAGUGAUAUCCAUCAGCAAUGCCAUUUCUACUGCAACUACUAAAUAUCCAUAAAUAAAGAUCAAAUCUUACAUUUGCACCUAGAAUAUUCCUACCCCAGGUUGCGAUAGCAUGCAUUCAUCCUAAACCCAGGGAGGGGAGGGGGGGGGGGGCAA